UUUAGAAUUAUUCUGCUGAGUUUGGAAUUAUGAAAAAUAUUGGCUCAGUUCUUUUCCAAGCUUUUUCAACCCUUGGUCUUUCCUUUGGACUCAACUCGUUCUUAAAGUAUCUCCUGAACCAGUCGGCCGACAACCAUAUUUUUAAAUUUCU
Molecule: long non-coding RNA, 151 nt
Organism: Eurytemora carolleeae
Lineage: Eukaryota; Metazoa; Arthropoda; Copepoda; Calanoida; Temoridae
Exons: 2
Source: RefSeq, a predicted model, not a curated record